UGGGGAAUAUUGCACAAUGGGCGCAAGCCUGAUGCAGCCAUGCCGCGUGUAUGAAGAAGGUCGUCGGGUUGUAAAGUACUUUCAGCGAGGAGGAAGGCGUUGUGGUUAAUAACCGCAACGAUUGACGUUACUCGCAGAAGAAGCACCGGCUAACUCCGUGCCAGCAGCCGCGGUAAUACGGAGGGUGCAAGCGUUAAUCGGAAUUACUGGGCGUAAAGCGCACGCAGGCGGUCUGUCAAGUCGGAUGUGAAAUCCCCGGGCUCAACCUGGGAACUGCAUCCGAAACUGGCAGGCUAGAGUCUUGUAGAGGGGGGUAGAAUUCCAGGUGUAGCGGUGAAAUGCGUAGAGAUCUGGAGGAAUACCGGUGGCGAAGGCGGCCCCCUGGACAAAGACUGACGCUCAGGUGCGAAAGCGUGGGGAGCAAACA
RNAcentral lists this ribosomal RNA (427 nucleotides) under uncultured bacterium. RNAcentral describes it as "partial 16S ribosomal RNA". It matches the Rfam family "Bacterial small subunit ribosomal RNA", at positions 355 to 774 of the family's 1533-position model. The record is from RNAcentral.